This 106-nucleotide small nuclear RNA is filed under the name Tupaia belangeri (northern tree shrew). The record is from RNAcentral. Lineage: Eukaryota; Metazoa; Chordata; Mammalia; Scandentia; Tupaiidae.
GUACUUGCUUCACCAACACAUAUACUAAAAUCAGAAUGAUACAGAGAGGAUUAGCAUGGCCCUUGCACAAAGAUGACAACCAAAUUGUGAAACGGUCCAAAAUAAA